CCCGGGACUCCAGGAUCACAACCUGAGCCAAAGUCAGAUGCUCAACCCCUGAGCCACCCAGGUGCCAGCUACAGGAAAGCUAUUUUGAGUCUCAGAUUAUAUGGAUUAUACACCCAUCUACCAGAAGACUUUAGAAAUAACCCACCCGGGAGACCUUUCACAUCCCUCUGGUAAAUUGCCUGGCUGAUCUUGCAAAAGAAGGGUGAGCAGCUGAUGGUGGAGGCUGAUGAUCCAUUCAUACUGAUACUGAUAAAGCUCCUAUUGACUCAACUGACAGGAAAUCAGAGGUGAUAGCAGCCCUGUUGAUGUUGUCCAUAUAAAUCAGUCUGCAGCAGAAGAAAUCAGGGUGGAGAAAGGCCUGGAGUAGAACUGCAUGCGGCAAACGUGAGAUACCCAGAACUGAUCAUCUGCCAGCGUUCAGACAAGAUUUGAGGGUUUGACUCACCCCAAGCUUCAUUAACAGCCUCUAUUGCAAUACAGAGCGUUGUCCCAUUUUCUUUAGCUCAACAAGUACACGUAAACCAUGGUUUCUCCGAAGAGAACGCUUUUUGACAGACCCCCUAUUGGCAGAGGGGAACCCAUAUUUAACCAUAUUUAACCAAACUGGGAGCCUGACUUGAAAUUUACUGUGCACAUGAAAUUUCUUCCAAGCUUCUUUUGGUUUGUUUCAGCUAAAUAUUUGAUGUGGGUUUUGAAUUGUACUAAGUAAAACAUUUGUUUGUUUUUGUAUUGAAACUAAUUACAAAAAGGAAAAAUCAAAA
Molecule: long non-coding RNA, 761 nt
Organism: Canis lupus familiaris (dog)
Lineage: Eukaryota; Metazoa; Chordata; Mammalia; Carnivora; Canidae
Exons: 3
Source: RefSeq, a predicted model, not a curated record